CCUACGGGAGGCAGCAGUGGGGAAUAUUGGACAAUGGGCGAAAGCCUGAUCCAGCAAUACCGCGUGUGUGAAGAAGGCCUUAGGGUUGUAAAGCACUUUCAAUUGGGAGGAAAACCUGCCGGUCAAUACCCGGUAGCUUGACAUUACCUUUAGAAGAAGCACCGGCUAACUCCGUGCCAGCAGCCGCGGUAAUACGGAGGGUGCGAGCGUUAAUCGGAAUUACUGGGCGUAAAGCGUGCGUAGGCGGUUCGUUAAGUCAGAUGUGAAAGCCCCGGGCUCAACCUGGGAACUGCAUUUGAAACUGGCGGACUAGAGUUUAGUAGAGGGGAGUGGAAUUUCAGGUGUAGCGGUGAAAUGCGUAGAUAUCUGAAGGAACACCAGUGGCGAAGGCGACUCCCUGGACUAGAACUGACGCUGAGGUACGAAAGCGUGGGUAGCAAACAGGAUUAGAUACCCUGGUAGUCCACGCCGUAAACGAUGUCGACUAGCCGUUGGUCCUAUUUACAGGAUUAGUGGCGCAGCUAACGCAUUAAGUCGACCGCCUGGGGAGUACGGCCGCAAGGUUAAAACCUUAANAAGAAUUGACGGCUGAGAGNGCGACGACGACGACGAGGAGAGG
RNAcentral lists this ribosomal RNA (619 nucleotides) under uncultured bacterium. Its description in RNAcentral is "bacterial SSU rRNA". It matches the Rfam family "Bacterial small subunit ribosomal RNA", at positions 338 to 961 of the family's 1533-position model. The record is from RNAcentral.